This 85-nucleotide transfer RNA is filed under the name Felis catus (domestic cat). It matches the Rfam family "tRNA". Rfam says of the family: Transfer RNA (tRNA) molecules are approximately 80 nucleotides in length. The record is from Rfam by way of RNAcentral. Lineage: Eukaryota; Metazoa; Chordata; Mammalia; Carnivora; Felidae.
GCCUGGAUGGCUCAGUCGGUUGAGCAUCUGACUUCGGCUCAGGUCAUGAUCUCACUGUCCAUGAGUUCAAGCCCCACGCCGGGCU